RNAcentral lists this ribosomal RNA (328 nucleotides) under uncultured eukaryote. RNAcentral's name for it is "partial 18S ribosomal RNA". It matches the Rfam family "Eukaryotic small subunit ribosomal RNA", at positions 1470 to 1796 of the family's 1831-position model. The record is from RNAcentral.
CCCUUAGAUGUCCUGGGCCGCACGCGCGCUACACUGAUGCAUGCAACGAGUUUAUAACCUUGGCCUGAAAGGUCUGGGUAAUCUUUUGAACGUGCAUCGUAAUAGGGAUAGAUUAUUGCAAUUGUUAAUCUUGAACGAGGAAUUCCUAGUAAACGCGAGUCAUCAGCUCGCAUUGAUUACGUCCCUGCCCUUUGUACACACCGCCCGUCGCACCUACCGAUUGAAUGGUUCGGUGAAGAUCUCGGACUUCGAUAUUUAUUCUUUAUUGAGUUUAUAUUGUGGGAAGUUAUCUAAACCUCAUCAUUUAGAGGAAGGUGAAGUCGUAACA